This 253-nucleotide ribosomal RNA is filed under the name uncultured bacterium. RNAcentral's name for it is "partial 16S ribosomal RNA". It matches the Rfam family "Bacterial small subunit ribosomal RNA", at positions 524 to 776 of the family's 1533-position model. The record is from RNAcentral.
UACGGGGGGGGCAAGCGUUGUUCGGAAUUACUGGGCGUAAAGGGCUCGUAGGCGGCCAACUAAGUCAUACGUGAAAUCCCUCGGCUUAACCGGGGAACUGCGUCUGAUACUGGAUGGCUUGAGUUCGGGAGAGGGAUGCGGAAUUCCAGGUGUAGCGGUGAAAUGCGUAGAGAUCCGGAAGAACACCGGUGGCGAAGGCGGCCUGCUGGGCAGUGGCUGACACUGAGGCGCGACAGCGUGGGGAGCAAACAGG